UGGGGAAUUUUGGACAAUGGGCGAAAGCCUGAUCCAGCAAUGCCGCGUGUGUGAAGAAGGCCUUCGGGUUGUAAAGCACUUUUGUCCGGAAAGAAAUCCUUGGCUCUAAUACAGUCGGGGGAUGACGGUACCGGAAGAAUAAGCACCGGCUAACUACGUGCCAGCAGCCGCGGUAAUACGUAGGGUGCAGGCGUUAAUCGGAAUUACUGGGCGUAAAGCGUGCGCAGGCGGUUUGCUAAGACCGAUGUGAAAUCCCCGGGCUCAACCUGGGAACUGCAUUGGUGACUGGGCAGGCUAGAGUAUGGCAGAGGGGGGUAGAAUUCCACGUGUAGCAGUGAAAUGCGUAGAGAUGUGGAGGAAUACCGAUGGCGAAGGCAGCCCCCUGGGCAAUACUGACGCUCAUGCACGAAAAGCGUGGGGAGCAAAACAGGAUUAGAUACCCUGGUAGUCCACGCCCUAAAACGAUGUCAACUAGUUGUUGGGGAUUCAUUUCCUUAGUAACGUAGCUAACGCGUGAAGUUGACCGCCUGGGGAGUACGGUCGCAAG
RNAcentral lists this ribosomal RNA (547 nucleotides) under uncultured bacterium. Its description in RNAcentral is "partial 16S ribosomal RNA". It matches the Rfam family "Bacterial small subunit ribosomal RNA", at positions 355 to 892 of the family's 1533-position model. The record is from RNAcentral.